This 133-nucleotide ribosomal RNA is filed under the name Peromyscus maniculatus bairdii (prairie deer mouse). Lineage: Eukaryota; Metazoa; Chordata; Mammalia; Rodentia; Cricetidae. The record is from RNAcentral.
AUCUAAGGCCAUACCACUCCGACCACACCCAGUCUCAUUUGAUCUUAGAAGCUAAGCAGGGUCAGGCCUGGUUAGUACUUGAGGGGAAGAGCUGUCCUAGUGUGAUAGGUUCCAAAGCUGGAUAUUUAAGAUU